RNAcentral lists this long non-coding RNA (1196 nucleotides) under Coturnix japonica (Japanese quail). RNAcentral's name for it is "lncRNA (ENSCJPG00005020608.1)". Lineage: Eukaryota; Metazoa; Chordata; Aves; Galliformes; Phasianidae. The record is from RNAcentral.
GGAACCACAAGAAUUGCAUUUGUAAUUAUCUUGACAUUUUAAGUAACAGCCAAUUGUUUCCUAAAGGGGGAAAAUGAGAGAGAUAACAGAUCACUAUAGGACAUUAUGAACGGUAUCUCUUCCUAGACCAGUAAAUGGCUUCUUUUCCUGGCACUAGGAAACAACCAUGCUUAUAACUAAAAAAAAAAAUCAAACUUUUCAUACAUAUUCUAUUGCAUUUCCAAGUUACCUUUAUUUUCAUUUAGCCAUCACUUGUUAGUUUCUUGUUUGUAUCUGUUCUUUUCAAGACAACUUGUGGCUUCUUGACUCUUCACCCUUUCUAUUUUCCUCACCAUCUAACCUUAGAGCAUUCCUCUUUUUUCUCUCUGAAAAUCUGCCUGCUGGUAUUUUCCAUGAAUCCAUCUGCAUUGAAUUAUUUAUAGUUACAAUAAGGUCUGCUUUUGUCUAAUGUUUAUUUUCUUUAAUAACAAGAAACAUGGGGAAAAUGUUCCAAAGAACCGAAAAAGGACUUGACUUUUCCUGGACGCCAGGCAACAGUAGCCAAAAAGCACAAAACAAGCCAUAGGAUGUUUUGGAGGGUUUAUGUUGCUCAUAUGCCUUGUCUUCAAUUAUGUGAGUCAUGCAAGCAUUUCCCCCUGAACACUUUCCAGCUCCCCCCACCCCAUAUCUCACCCCUCCAUGUCCUCCUCCUCGUUUACUCAGCUCCAUUCUCUUCUGUGUUUCUUGCGCUGCCUACAGUGAUUGCAUUUAAUGUGAAUGCUAUGGGGGAGGGAAUAUGGAAGACAAGAAGGUAAAGAAAGGACUUCUGUGGAAUCUGCGUGAACUGAAACAUGACAAAGUCUGAAGUUAUAAGUGAUAGGUGGAAUGGAAGAGAGGAGCAAGUUGAAGUCCAGGUCCUGAGUGGCAAGAGACACCGUCAGCAUGGAGCUCUGAUGCUUAAAACAUGGGAGAAAUGUAGGAUGCUGGUACCACAGAAGUUGUGUGCUACAAACUUUGAGCUACACCUCCUGGCUAGGAAUGGAUCUGCCUCCAGCCGCAUGCUCCCCAAGCACUUUCAUACUCAACACAUUGCCCAGAUACACAGAGAGCCUGGACAAGGGAAGUCCUCCAGGAUGAAACACGGGGAGCUACUGCUGAUGAGCCUGCAGGACCUUAGAGCUCCUUGUGUGUCUGCUUUCUGCGCCUUGGCUGCAUAG